GGUAAUGUGGAGGGUGGCUCUCGUAGUGGACUGUGGCUCCGGUGGUUGGGGGUUCGAUCCCCCUCGUUCACCC
Molecule: transfer RNA, 73 nt
Filed under: subsurface metagenome
Description: tRNA-His
Source: RNAcentral